CAUUUUUUACUUUAUCGUUUUUUUCGGUUUUUUUAUUCCUUUUUCGGUUUUUUUACUUUUUUUUUUCUUUUUCGUUUUUGCUUUUUUUUUUCCUUCAGUUUUUUUGCCUUUUUUUUCAACUUUUUUUGUGUUUUUCAGUUUUUGCUUUUUUUUUCUUUCUUUUUGUUUACUCUUUUAUUUUCUUCUAUUUUUCUAGUUUAAUUUUUUAUUUUCAACACUUUUAAUUUUUUUUCUAUUUUCUUUAUUUUUUUAAUAUUAUCUUUAUUCACAUCAAUGAUUAUUUUUUUAUUACAACUACAAUUACUUAACCAAAUAAUUCAAAUUAUAAGAUUUUGUGAGUAAAAAUAAUAAUUUUCGUAAAAAAAAUACUUUUAAUAAGUAUAAAAUAUAC
Molecule: long non-coding RNA, 391 nt
Filed under: Salvia miltiorrhiza (redroot sage)
Lineage: Eukaryota; Viridiplantae; Streptophyta; Magnoliopsida; Lamiales; Lamiaceae
Description: long non-coding RNA (SMIL_LNC014027)
Source: RNAcentral